UGUUUCGGCUAGGGGGCCAUCCCGGCUUACCAACCCGAUGCAAACUGCGAAUACCGGAGAAUGUUAUCACGGGAGACACACGGCGGGUGCUAACGUCCGUCGUGAAGAGGGAAACAACCCAGACCGCCAGCUAAGGUCCCAAAGUCAUGGUUAAGUGGGAAACGAUGUGGGAAGGCCCAGACAGCCAGGAUGUUGGCUUAGAAGCAGCCAUCAUUUAAAGAAAGCGUAAUAGCUCACUGGUCGAGUCGGCCUGCGCGGAAGAUGUAACGGGGCUAAACCAUGCACCGAAGCUGCGGCAGCGAACGUAUCACUUAAAGUGAUUCAGCGGGUUACGAUUGACGGAGCGAAGCGACGUCAAAGCGUAUACAAAGUCGAGUCGGUUUAAGGAUACGUUCGUUGGGUAGGGGAGCGUUCUGUAAGCCUGCGAAGGUGGCCUGUGAGGGUUGCUGGAGGUAUCAGAAGUGCGAAUGCUGACAUAAGUAACGAUAAAGCGGGUGAAAAGCCCGCUCGCCGGAAGACCAAGGGUUCCUGUCCAACGUUAAUCGGGGCAGGGUGAGUCGACCCCUAAGGCGAGGCCGAAAGGCGUAGUCGAUGGGAAACGGGUUAAUAUUCCCGUACUUGGUGUUACUGCGAAGGGGGGACGGAGAAGGCUAUGUUGGCCGGGCGACGGUUGUCCCGGUUUAAGCGUGUAGGUGUGUGUUCCAGGUAAAUCCGGUUCACUUUAACACUGAGGCGUGAUGACGAGGCACUACGGUGCUGAAGCAACAAAUGCCCUGCUUCCAGGAAAAGCCUCUAAGCAUCAGGUAACAUCAAAUCGUACCCCAAACCGACACAGGUGGUCAGGUAGAGAAUACCAAGGCGCUUGAGAGAACUCGGGUGAAGGAACUAGGCAAAAUGGUGCCGUAACUUCGGGAGAAGGCACGCUGACAC
This 930-nucleotide ribosomal RNA is filed under the name Salmonella enterica subsp. enterica serovar Wilhelmsburg. Its description in RNAcentral is "partial 23S ribosomal RNA". It matches the Rfam family "Bacterial large subunit ribosomal RNA", at positions 911 to 1757 of the family's 2925-position model. The record is from RNAcentral. Lineage: Bacteria; Pseudomonadati; Pseudomonadota; Gammaproteobacteria; Enterobacterales; Enterobacteriaceae.